This 234-nucleotide ribosomal RNA is filed under the name uncultured Pseudomonadales bacterium. Its description in RNAcentral is "partial 16S ribosomal RNA". It matches the Rfam family "Bacterial small subunit ribosomal RNA", at positions 96 to 334 of the family's 1533-position model. The record is from RNAcentral. Lineage: Bacteria; Pseudomonadati; Pseudomonadota; Gammaproteobacteria; Pseudomonadales.
CGGCGGACGGGUGAGUAAUGCCUAGGAAUCUGCCUGGUAGUGGGGACAACGUUUCGAAAGGAACGCUAAUACCGCAUACGUCCUACGGGAGAAAGUGGGGGAUCUUCGGACCUCACGCUAUCAGAUGAGCCUAGGUCGGAUUAGCUAGUUGGUGGGGUAACGGCUUACCAAGGCAACGAUACGUAGCCGACCUGAGAGGGUGAUCAGUCACACUGGAACUGAGACACGGUCCAG